RNAcentral lists this ribosomal RNA (937 nucleotides) under Salmonella enterica subsp. enterica serovar Schwarzengrund. RNAcentral's name for it is "partial 23S ribosomal RNA". It matches the Rfam family "Bacterial large subunit ribosomal RNA", at positions 415 to 1251 of the family's 2925-position model. Lineage: Bacteria; Pseudomonadati; Pseudomonadota; Gammaproteobacteria; Enterobacterales; Enterobacteriaceae. The record is from RNAcentral.
GGGCGGGACACGUGGUAUCCUGUCUGAAUAUGGGGGGACCAUCCUCCAAGGCUAAAUACUCCUGACUGACCGAUAGUGAACCAGUACCGUGAGGGAAAGGCGAAAAGAACCCCGGCGAGGGGAGUGAAAAAGAACCUGAAACCGUGUACGUACAAGCAGUGGGAGCCCCACCACUAAGCCAGUGGUGAACUCCACAUACGCAUCCUUUGCUGAGGAUACGGUUAACGGAGCGAAAGCGACGUUCAACCUCAAAAGAAGCAGAGGGGGCUUAGUGGUGGGGUGACUGCGUACCUUUUGUAUAAUGGGUCAGCGACUUAUAUUCUGUAGCAAGGUUAACCGAAUAGGGGAGCCGGAGGGAAACCGAGUCUUAACCGGGCGUUAAGUUGCAGGGUAUAGACCCGAAACCCGGUGAUCUAGCCAUGGGCAGGUUGAAGGUUGGGUAACACUAACUGGAGGACCGAACCGACUAAUGUUGAAAAAUUAGCGGAUGACCUGUGGCUGGGGGUGAAAGGCCAAUCAAACCGGGAGAUAGCUGGUUCUCCCCGAAAGCUAUUUAGGUAGCGCCUCGUGAAUUCAUCUCCGGGGGUAGAGCACUGUUUCGGCUAGGGGGCCAUCCCGGCUUACCAACCCGAUGCAAACUGCGAAUACCGGAGAAUGUUAUCACGGGAGACACACGGCGGGUGCUAACGUCCGUCGUGAAGAGGGAAACAACCCAGACCGCCAGCUAAGGUCCCAAAGUCAUGGUUAAGUGGGAAACGAUGUGGGAAGGCCCAGACAGCCAGGAUGUUGGCUUAGAAGCAGCCAUCAUUUAAAGAAAGCGUAAUAGCUCACUGGUCGAGUCGGCCUGCGCGGAAGAUGUAACGGGGCUAAACCAUGCACCGAAGCUGCGGCAGCGACGCUGAUGCGUUGUUGGGUAGGGGAGCGUUCUGUAAGCCUG